AAUAAAAAUAAAUAAAAAAUCAAUGUUUCUGUUAUCAGAAGGGUUCCAUCUGCAUGUCUGUUCACGAUAGUAAUAAUUUGGUUAGACAUGUAAGUGUACACAAAAAUGUGCUUGCCCACUGGGCACAAACAGGAAAUACAUUCACACACUCACUCACACACACACACGAGCGAUGUAACAAACAAGCAGAGAGCCCGUGACCUGAAGCUACACUGCAUCUCCUCUCUAAUGCAAGGACACUGGUGUGAUGUGAGUCUGUCACAUAUUUGCGUGACACAUCCUGCAAGAUAGCUGGGAAGUCAACCUGUGAAAAAUGAGCCUGUCUGUAGUGUUUGUACGAUACCCUGCUGGCUCCCACUGCUCAAGAUGAUGAAACCACUAUGCAACUUCGGAGAGGGAGGGAAGAAAGGAAAGGGAUUACAGAUGGAGAUGUGCUCCAAUGAGCAGGUAGCAAAAACACAAAGAUCUCUCCUCGCUGUUGUUCACGAUGAAAAAAAAGAAAAAAAAUAACAAACAGUUGGCAGUUUGACUAAUGGUCGGGUCAUAACACGUAUGAUACACGGCUGAAAGGCAUUUGCAGGAGGGUUCAUGAGAGGAAUCGAAAUGGGAUGCUCUUUGUCCUCCCUCGCUGAAUGCAUUUUAAAAGUACCCUCCUUUACAAAGUGUUUCCAAUUAUGCUGCAAUCGCCAAAGUACCCAUUCUGAGCAGAGUCUCACUGUGUGAUGGUCUCUCUAAAACGGCUGCUUCGUGGCAAAGCAUCCAAGCUUGUUGAAGUACAGCUCCCCAGAGGACCACCUCUCAAUCUGGAAGCCCUCGUCCUGAUUGGACAAAAAGCUCAGGUUGUCACAGAAACCCUCCAGCACGCCAUAUCCCCGCAAUCUGGUGUGUCAGUAAAGAACCCCCCCCCCUGAGAAAUGGUCCAGAUAAGGUAAAUAAUCACACCCUGUCCACACAUAACCUGUGUUCACAUUUAUGCUAAUGCAAUGGUAAAUAUGCUGUGCAUCACAUACAGAAACCACCCACCACUCAGUUAUACUUUCUAUAUUUCCAUAAAAGAUUGCUCUUCUCCAUUCCUUACUUCUAUAUCUCCUUCUUUCUCUCCCUGCCUCAGCAUUUCAGUUCCGAGGAGGCUGACAGUCAGGCCGACUGCUGGGAUGACCAGGGGAAUUGCUUAAGUUCAGUGAGAACAGUUGUGUCUUUUAAACUGGUUUUCUUUUUUUCCUUUCCUUUUCUUCUUUUAUUUUAUUUUAUUUUUUUAGCCUCCCUGCGAUUGCUUGUUUCCUGCGGAGCUGUGAUGAAUUAGACUGCAGCUUCAGCCCAUUCUCCUACCAGGACCCUGGAGACUGCCGCUCCUAUUCUGAGGACGAGAGACAGCUAGUCUGCUCGGGCCACACGCACUCUACUGUACCGCCAGAUAAUGCACCCUCUCCAUCAUCAGGCAAAUUCAUUUUCCGAGGCUUAGCAAUGCCGUGGGGCUGCGCGUCUAUGUAAGUGAAGCAGUUACAGGGUGUAGCAGGAGUCGCGGAGGUGCUGCGAGGUGCUCGUGUGCAACCCUUACAUGCAAUUACAUAAGUUUCGGGGUCAGUGGUUGGACACCGUGUGGACACAUGACACUGGUGACAGAAUGGAACCACAGAGGUUAUAAUGGUAGAAUUGUCACAGCAGGGGGAAGGCAUGAAAAUCAUGUCUGUAAUAAAACGGCAGCGGAAGUCUAUUGAGGCAAAACUGGGAAACGGUUUCAACCCAAUGACUGAACCAAGCUGAACGGAGGAAAGACUGGGGUGGUUGACUUGCACAUGUACACAGCCAGGGGACGAUGACAAUAACCAACACCACGCCCGUGAUGCCCAAUAAACCAAUGAUUAUAUGAGGAAGACUUUUAUGAAGACCAGCCAUCAUGUUUAUCCUCAGUGUCACUACAGUCUCAUUUACCCAGAACAAACCUGAACCAGGGCAUUUUCAUUUUGUACAUCAGUACACAGACAGUAGUUCUUCCGUUUUGGAAAACUGUAUUCAUAACAUGUUUACAAUGCACACACAUCAUGAAAGAUAUACAUAUGGUUGUCAGUAUAUAGGCCUGUAAUAAUGACAUGGUUCUUUGACAAGGCUGUCUACAGCUUUAAUGGAGAACAAAUUACAUUUCUGCCACCCUAACUGGAAAAUAAAAACUACAUAAUCGCAUAUAAUCUACAUAUAUGAGUAUGCAGAUUAUUAUGUCAUAUAUAUUGAUGUCAUGCAUGGGAAAUUGCAAUGAUAUCCUCGCUGCCUCUGUGCAAUGUAAGCGAACCGAAGCGAACCGAAGCGAACGGGCACAUACAGGUGAUAGACAGUUGCGAUAGCCAAUCACCGCAGGCGUUGUUGACCGCAGGCCUCCUAGCUGGCCUCACGUUGAACGUGACAUGUAUGCGUCCUGUGAUUGGAUACUCGCUUACUGCCGUAAAACAACACGAAGUAAGUCCAAUGCAGAUCAACCGAUUAGCAGAGAGAGAACUCUAAUAUCUACUCGCUUUUUUCUUUUUUAUUCCACAAUGGUCGAAGGAGCGCAAAACGUCGAUUUGCGAACUUAAAUUGCUUAACUAAGGCAGCAGUGAGACACCAAAGCACGACUGGACACUUGCAAGCUACGGUGCUUCUAAAAACUUUUGGGGACACCCGAGUGGAUGCACAGCUCAACGAACAGAUGCGAAAGGGAUUUAUUGUUGGAACUGAAGCGCAAAGAUAAACUGUGCAACCAAGUCGUCGAGGUCUUCCUGAGGAAACAAAGGAGAAUGGAUUUGGUGUUGAAAUAAGUGUUUUGGAGGACAGCUGUUUUGAAAUCAUUCAUCUGAAACGCCGCCCAAUGACACGACAGCUGAUGAAGAACACAGUUAAAGAAACGCACUAAGUCUUCGGAAACAGCUGAAUUGCUUUUCUGCUGCUUUAAGAAAGAACAGAAUUGACUACGGAGAGAGACAACAAACUUCAUUACAGCACGAGCCAACCUGAGCCUGGUGUGAUAUCCUGCCUACAGAUAGGUUUGUGUUAAAUAUAGAGUACAAUAUCCUCUCACCUUCUCACCUCUCUACAGCUGCAAUAUUAUGAAAUAUGAACUGGUGUUGGCACAGAAUUCACUAUGUGAAAGCCUGUAUAUGUGUCUAUGAAAGACAAUGGAAGAGGUGGGUCAGGCUGACCCACUGUGAGGAAGAACACUCUGAUCACAGACAACUAAAGGUUAGAGUAUUACUUCUUACUAAUGGGAGACAUAAGCUAUAAAUAUUUAAUAUAUUCAUGAGUUGAAUACAAACCACGACAUAUGAUUUCAUUAAAUAACAAUACCAGUUAUUAUUCUGUAAACCAGGCACGUGUUGUAAUACCCCCUCUCUAGUGUUAUGAUAAAGCUAAAGGUUUUAACCUGGUAGUUAUAAGUCAGUGGUUCAAGAUUUGAAUUGUACUGUUAAUUCAUUGCAUCUACUGUCUAAAAGUACUCUGGUGCAGAAUGCACCAAUCCAUGACCAGGAAAGUUUCAUUCUUCAUUUCCGUGUUUGUUAAACCUAAACAAAUGAAGAAAUUCACACCUGCAACAGACUGAGCCAAAAAGGCUCAGUCAACAAAUUCUCACAGCAAAAGACAGUAGGGAUUUGGACCCGUCUCCAUAUGCAGAUGAUAAUAUUUUAAGACGAUUAGGGUUGUCGGGACAAAUCUGUUUAAAAAAAAAAUAUUAAAAGACCAUCAACAAACGCAGCGUGCUUGUACUGUAUGCCGUACUCACUGUCCGUUUCUUUCUGCUUUUGAAAAUCUCCACUUUGACCGUGUCCUUUGACAAGGACAGAAUGAACUUGCAAUACUGCAGUGAUGUGUAUUCUCAGUUACCGAAUAAUUAAAAGAGUACCAGAAGAAAAGGAAUUGGAACUAACCAAUUCCCCACCUUCAAGGAAGCAUGUUUAAUCAUCCUCAAAUUCCUUUCCUUUCUUUCUUUCUUUCUUUCUUUCUUUUUUCUUUCUUUCUUUCUUUCUUUCUUUCUUUUUUCUUUCUUUCUUUACUUCCUGCCUUUUUUUUCUCCAAAUGAUAAAAUUAUUUAAAUUUAAAUUUUCACAUGAUCACAGCUCUAUUUAUCAUUCAGUGUUACUGUCUUUGUCAUGUUAAAAAAAAACUUUUGACAAAUUCUUCUGAAAAAUAUGAAGCCAGUGUUUGAGAAGUUGACAGAGCAGGGCCAUAUUAAAAAUUUCAGAAUGUACAGUAAAAAAAAAGGACAAGGAAGGCGCGAAAGAGUGAAAUGAAAAAGAAAAGGCUUAGAAGAAGGAGCAAGGGGCCAGCUCAAGAAAGUGCAAGGAUGUACCAAAAUAUGGUGGAGCUCACUAAAGCUUUGUGUGUGAGAGCUACAGAGCUGGCAGAAGACGGUGCUGCACAUGAACAAAAGCAGCUUACUGCCUACCCUGCACGUCAGCUUUCUCUGAGUCUGUGAGAGCCGAAGGAGAAAAGGGUGCACUUGAGGACUCACCUGCCUGUCCUGAGACAGGAUCCAGAUUUGCUAUGUACAUGUACAAUCAGCCUGCUUUUCUUUUUUUUUUCCUUUUUUCCCCCCAGUCUGGUUUGCAUUAAAAAGUGCUGUGUUCGGUCUUAGUGUUGAAUGUUCUGCGAGAAAAACACAAUAGUUGAAGCCUUAAAUUCAUAAAUAGAUACAUAAACUCCAAAACAUUUAACUGGUGUAUUUGGUAAUGUUUACACUUUAACAUUACUAUUAUGUUAGCUACAGUAGACUCGGGUUGGAAAGGCAAGAAUGGUAAACUUGGAUCUUUUCCACCCUGUGCUGUCGUGUUCUUUUUGUAUGCGUGGCCUCUGUAGUGCUGAUGUGACUGCGGGGGAAGAGUCUAACCCUGUCACUCACACUGACAGCCAAGCUGUCUUAUCUGCUCUCUGUUGGCAACGCUGCACUUUAAUUAGGCUCGAAGGUCAAUCAGCACUUUUUUAUUAAAAAGAAGAAGAAGAAGAAGAAGAUGGGACUCUACCCAAAGCUCCUCAUAUUAAGUUUUGAUAACGCAAGGCAAACAUGGGUAUAAAACUCUCUUGCCCUCCGCCCCAACUUUUAGCUCAACAUUAAUAAUCAGAUAUGUUUGUAUCACUAAUAAGGAGGAGAAGUCAAUCCCAGACAGCUGACGUUGUUAUAUCUUUGAGGCCAGAUAAUAUUCAUUCACUAAUUAAAUCAUCUUCUCCCACAAAGUCAUUGUCAGGGUAACAGAGAGGAAGGGGGGGCUGCAGCCAAUCCCAGCUCUGAUUGGACAAGGGUGGCUGGAAUAGAUUAAGUUUAUAAAUUAAAAAAAAAAAGGUAAAAUAAAUGAAAAGAUAAAUGUUUUACUGCACUUUAUCCACCAGUAUCUGUCUAAAUCAACCAUAACUUAUUAGAAAAGGUCGAAUUAGAAAAACCUAACAAUACUUCAUGCCACCAUCGUGUUGUACAUCAUGUUUCAGGGCUGUGUGCUGUGACAUUACAUCAAGGCCUAGUGGUUGAAUUUUAGCCGCUAGUUAGAGGUGUUUUUCAACAGGAUAUUGGUGUCAGUUUGGUGAAUUUAGCUUCCACUUAUUGGACCAAGUCUGUUAAAAGAGCACAAGAGCUGGAAUAACCAAAACAAGCAAGCUUAUUCACAAGAUUAGCAAUUAGCUUUAACUUAGGCUAACAUCUUUGUAGGAUCAAC
Molecule: long non-coding RNA, 5669 nt
Organism: Cynoglossus semilaevis (tongue sole)
Lineage: Eukaryota; Metazoa; Chordata; Actinopteri; Pleuronectiformes; Cynoglossidae
Exons: 4
Source: RefSeq, a predicted model, not a curated record